AUCUAGCUCACGAGUCCCAAAUAGGACAAAACGUUCAUCCUAGAU
RNAcentral lists this non-coding RNA (45 nucleotides) under Schistosoma margrebowiei. Lineage: Eukaryota; Metazoa; Platyhelminthes; Trematoda; Strigeidida; Schistosomatidae. The record is from RNAcentral.